This 1477-nucleotide ribosomal RNA is filed under the name uncultured bacterium. Its description in RNAcentral is "16S ribosomal RNA". It matches the Rfam family "Bacterial small subunit ribosomal RNA". The record is from RNAcentral.
CCUGGCUCNGGANGAACGCUAGCGACAGGCUUAACACAUGCAAGUCGAGGGGCAGCGGGGAGGUAGCAAUACUUCCGCCGGCGACCGGCGCACGGGUGAGUAACACGUAUGGAACCUGCCCGUAGCAGGGGGAUAAGCGGAAGAAAUUCCGUCUAAUACCGCGUAAUAACUCCGAGGGGCAUCCCUUGGGGUUUAAAGGGUAACACCGGCUACGGAUGGCCAUGCGGCGCAUUAGCUAGUUGGCGGGGCAACGGCCCACCAAGGCGACGAUGCGUAGGGGUUCUGAGAGGAAGGUCCCCCACACUGGUACUGAGACACGGACCAGACUCCUACGGGAGGCAGCAGUGAGGAAUAUUGGUCAAUGGGCGCGAGCCUGAACCAGCCAAGUCGCGUGAGGGAAGACGGUCCUAUGGAUUGUAAACCUCUUUUGUCGGGGAGCAAAAGACGCCACGCGUGGCGUUCCGAGAGUACCCGAAGAAAAAGCAUCGGCUAACUCCGUGCCAGCAGCCGCGGUAAUACGGAGGAUGCGAGCGUUAUCCGGAUUUAUUGGGUUUAAAGGGUGCGCAGGCGGAAGAUCAAGUCAGCGGUAAAAUUGAGAGGCUCAACCUCUUCGAGCCGUUGAAACUGGUUUUCUUGAGUGAGCGAGAAGUAUGCGGAAUGCGUGGUGUAGCGGUGAAAUGCAUAGAUAUCACGCAGAACUCCGAUUGCGAAGGCAGCAUACCGGCGCUCAACUGACGCUCAUGCACGAAAGUGUGGGUAUCGAACAGGAUUAGAUACCCUGGUAGUCCACACAGUAAACGAUGAAUACUAAUUGUUCGGGGAGAAUGAUCCCUGAGUGAUACAGCGAAAGCGUUAAGUAUUCCACCUGGGGAGUACGCCGGCAACGGUGAAACUCAAAGGAAUUGACGGGGGCCCGCACAAGCGGAGGAACAUGUGGUUUAAUUCGAUGAUACGCGAGGAACCUUACCCGGGCUCAAACGACACAGGAAUACUUUUGAAAGGAGGUAGCUCUUAGGAGUCUGUGUCGAGGUGCUGCAUGGUUGUCGUCAGCUCGUGCCGUGAGGUGUCGGCUUAAGUGCCAUAACGAGCGCAACCCCCAUCGCCAGUUACCAGCAAGUCAAGUUGGGGACUCUGGCGAGACUGCCGGCGCAAGCUGUGAGGAAGGCGGGGAUGACGUCAAAUCAGCACGGCCCUUACGUCCGGGGCGACACACGUGUUACAAUGGCAGGUACAGAGAGAAGCAAUGCGGCGACGCAAAGCGGAACUUGAAAGCCUGUCUCAGUUCGGAUUGGAGUCUGCAACUCGACUCCAUGAAGCUGGAUUCGCUAGUAAUCGCGCAUCAGCCAUGGCGCGGUGAAUACGUUCCCGGGCCUUGUACACACCGCCCGUCAAGCCAUGGAAGCCGGGAGUGCCUGAAGUGUGCAACCGCAAGGAGCGCCCUAAGGUAAAACUGGUGACUGGGGCUAAGUCGUAACAA